This 327-nucleotide unclassified non-coding RNA is filed under the name plant metagenome. RNAcentral describes it as "partial contains 5.8S ribosomal RNA, internal transcribed spacer 2, and large subunit ribosomal RNA". The stretch from base 1 to 105 matches the Rfam family "5.8S ribosomal RNA", at positions 50 to 154 of the family's 154-position model. The record is from RNAcentral.
GAAAUGCGAUAAGUAAUGUGAAUUGCAGAAUUCAGUGAAUCAUCGAAUCUUUGAACGCACAUUGCGCCCGGCAGCAAUCUGCCGGGCAUGCCUGUCCGAGCGUCAUUUCUGCCCUCGAGCGCGGUUCGGCCCCUAGCGGGCCGGCCGCCGCCCGGUGUUGGGGCGCUGCGGGCCCUCGUGCCCGCAGGCCCUGAAAUGAAGUGGCGGUCCCGCCGCGGCGCCCCCUGCGUAGUAGUAAAGCACCUCGCAUCGGGUCCCGGCGGAGGCCAGCCGUCGAACCUCUCUUUUGAUGGUUUGACCUCGGAUCAGGUAGGGUUACCCGCUGAA